This 648-nucleotide ribosomal RNA is filed under the name Fastosarion insularis. RNAcentral describes it as "partial 16S large subunit ribosomal RNA". The stretch from base 231 to 480 matches the Rfam family "Archaeal large subunit ribosomal RNA", at positions 1786 to 2143 of the family's 2987-position model. The record is from RNAcentral. Lineage: Eukaryota; Metazoa; Mollusca; Gastropoda; Stylommatophora; Helicarionidae.
CUAUCAAUUCUAAAGGUAUCUGGAAUAAUUUUAAAUGUAUUUAGUACAGAAUAAAUUUUAAAUAAAGAAAUGUUAAGAUUUCAUUAAUUAUAGAAUAUUAAAUAUAAUUUAAAUAUGAAUUAAUCUUCCAACAUAUAAAUUUAAUAAUAAUAAUUUAUUUAAUAUAUCUUUAUAUUAAAAUUAUUUUUUCUACAACUAACUAGAAAAUUAAUAAUGUUAAAAUUAGUAAUUUUUAAUAUUUUGUGUUAAGGAACUCGGCAAUUUAUUAUUCAACUGUUUAUCAAAAACAUAGUCUUAUGUAUUAUAUAUAAGGUGAAACCUGCCCAUUGAUUUUCAUAAUUUAACGGCCGCAGUACCUUGACUGUGCUAAGGUAGCAUAAUAAAUUGACUCUUAAUUGGGGCCUUGAAUGAAUGGAUUAAUGAAUAAUUUCUGUCUUAAUAAAAUUAAAGUUAAAUUACUUAAAAGGUGAAAAUUCCUUUAAUUUAUAUAAUAGACGAGAAGACCCUAGGAGUUUUAUUUUUGUUGGGGCGACAGUAUAACAUUAUAACUUAUACAUUAUAAAUAAUUAUUAAACGAAUUAUUUUAAUAAUAAAGAAACUACCCUAGGGAUAACAGCAUAAUUUUUAAAAAGUUUGUGACCUCGAUGU